Suricata suricatta (meerkat) is the source of this 548-nucleotide long non-coding RNA. RefSeq lists it as uncharacterized. The record is from RefSeq and is a predicted model, not a curated record. Lineage: Eukaryota; Metazoa; Chordata; Mammalia; Carnivora; Herpestidae. The transcript has 3 exons.
GAUACUUUCAGACACACAGAAGAGAGAACCUGUCACUAGCAGGUCUUCACUCAAGAAAGUCCUCUGGGAUAUUGCUUUAAACAAAAGGAAAAGGAUCAGGCCUCAGAUGCGGGAAGGAAAUUACAAAGAUCGCUUUGGUUCCUGCUCACCAGAAUUUUAUCAGCCAUCUGCUGGAUCUGUUGGGAUUUUGUCUGGAUGUCAUCCUUCAGUCUGUUUUCUCUACGCUCCAUGGUCUCUAGCCUCUUUACCUUGUUCUCCAGAGAAUGGCGGCGUUCCUGUAGAUCAUGAAUCAAUCAGAGAGUUUUAAUGGAGUAACUGCUAUGGGCACAGCGCCUGCACCGAGGGAGAGCGGCCUCGGCCUCGAGAAGCAUACGCGCAAGGCAGGAAGAGAAGUCUCGGCACCCGGAGCAGUGGUGAGGAAAGCUCUGGGACAAGGCAAAGAAAAGUAUUUGGAAAUGAAGAGUAAGUUCUCCAAAAAAAAAAAUCACCUCAGGCUUACCUUUUCCAGCUUCUCUUGGAGCUCCUGAAUUUUGAGCUGUUGCUCAGCA